GUGCUUGCUUCGGCAGCACAUAUACUAAAAUUGGAACGAUACAGAGAAGGUUAGCAUGGCCCCUGUGCAAGGACGACACGCAAAUUUGUGAAGCAUUCCAUAUUUUU
Molecule: small nuclear RNA, 107 nt
Organism: Myotis lucifugus (little brown bat)
Lineage: Eukaryota; Metazoa; Chordata; Mammalia; Chiroptera; Vespertilionidae
Source: Ensembl